CCUACGGGAGGCAGCAGUGGGGAAUAUUGCACAAUGGGGGAAACCCUGAUGCAGCGACGCCGCGUGAGUGAAGAAGUAUUUCGGUAUGUAAAGCUCUAUCAGCAGGGAAGAUAAUGACGGUACCUGACUACGACGCCCCGGCUAACUACGUGCCAGCAGCCGCGGUCAUACGUAGGGGGCAAGCGUUAUCCGGAUUUACUGGGUGUAACGGGAGCGUAGGUGGCAGGGCAAGUCAGAUGUGAAAACCCGGGGCUCAACCCCGGGAGUGCAUUUGAAACUGUCCAGCUGGAGUGCAGGAGAGGUAAGCGGAAUUCCUAGUGGAGCGGUGAAAUGCAUAGAUAUCACGCAGAACUCCGAUUGCGAAGGCAGCAUACCGGCGCCCGACUGACGCUGAGGCACGAAAGCGUGGGGAUCGAACAGGAUUAGAUACCCUUGUAGUC
This 440-nucleotide ribosomal RNA is filed under the name uncultured bacterium. RNAcentral describes it as "partial 16S ribosomal RNA". It matches the Rfam family "Bacterial small subunit ribosomal RNA", at positions 338 to 795 of the family's 1533-position model. The record is from RNAcentral.